RNAcentral lists this ribosomal RNA (329 nucleotides) under uncultured eukaryote. RNAcentral's name for it is "partial 18S ribosomal RNA". It matches the Rfam family "Eukaryotic small subunit ribosomal RNA", at positions 1470 to 1796 of the family's 1831-position model. The record is from RNAcentral.
CCCUUAGAUGUUCUGGGCUGCACGCGCGCUACACUGAUGCACUCAACGAGUUUACGACCUUGCCCGAUAGGGUUGGGUAAUCUUUUUAAAAUGCAUCGUGAUGGGGAUAGAUUAUUGCAAUUAUUAAUCUUCAACGAGGAAUGCCUAGUAAGCGCAAGUCAUCAGCUUGCGUUGAUUACGUCCCUGCCCUUUGUACACACCGCCCGUCGCUCCUACCGAUUGAAUGGUCCGGUGAAGCGUUUGGACUAUGGUUUUCUGAUGGUCCGCCGUUGGAUUACCGUGGGAAGUUCGUUAAACCUUAUCAUUUAGAGGAAGGAGAAGUCGUAACA